This 383-nucleotide ribosomal RNA is filed under the name uncultured bacterium. RNAcentral's name for it is "bacterial SSU rRNA". It matches the Rfam family "Bacterial small subunit ribosomal RNA", at positions 28 to 414 of the family's 1533-position model. The record is from RNAcentral.
GACGAACGCUGGCGGCGUGCUUAACACAUGCAAGUCGAACGGUGACGAGGAGCUUGCUCCUCCGAUCAGUGGCGAACGGGUGAGUAACACGUGAGUAACCUGCCCAGACUCUGGAAUAACAGUUGGAAACAGCUGCUAAUACCGGAUACGAGACGGAGAGGCAUCUCUACCGUCUGGAAAGUUUUUCGGUCUGGGAUGGACUCGCGGCUAUCAGCUUGUUGGUGAGGUAAUGGCUCACCAAGGCGACGACGGGUAGCCGGCCUGAGAGGCGACCGGCCACACUGGGACUGAGACACGGCCCAGACUCCUACGGGAGGCAGCAGUGGGGAAUAUUGCACAAUGGGCGAAAGCCUGAUGCAGCAACGCCGCGUGAGGGAUGACGG